UGUAGCUUGCUACAUGACCUAGCGGCGGACGGGUGAGUAAUACUUAGGAAUCUGCCUAUUAGUGGGGGACAACGUUCCGAAAGGAGCGCUAAUACCGCAUACGCCCUACGGGGGAAAGCAGGGGAUCUUCGGACCUUGCGCUAAUAGAUGAGCCUAAGUCGGAUUAGCUAGUUGGUAGGGUAAAGGCCUACCAAGGCGACGAUCUGUAGCGGGUUUGAGAGGAUGAUCCGCCACACUGGGACUGAGACACGGCCCAGACUCCUACGGGAGGCAGCAGUGGGGAAUAUUGGACAAUGGGCGCAAGCCUGAUCCAGCCAUGCCGCGUGUGUGAAGAAGGCCUUAUGGUUGUAAAGCACUUUAAGCGAGGAGGAGGCUUACCUGGUUAAUACCUAGGAUAAGUGGACGUUACUCGCAGAAUAAGCACCGGCUAACUCUGUGCCAGCAGCCGCGGUAAUACAGAGGGUGCAAGCGUUAAUCGGAAUUACUGGGCGUAAAGCGCGCGUAGGUGGCCAUUUAAGUCAAAUGUGAAAUCCCCGAGCUUAACUUGGGAAUUGCAUUCGAUACUGGGUGGCUAGAGUAUAGGAGAGGAAGGUAGAAUUCCAGGUGUAGCGGUG
This 614-nucleotide ribosomal RNA is filed under the name uncultured Acinetobacter sp. RNAcentral describes it as "bacterial SSU rRNA". It matches the Rfam family "Bacterial small subunit ribosomal RNA", at positions 74 to 683 of the family's 1533-position model. Lineage: Bacteria; Pseudomonadati; Pseudomonadota; Gammaproteobacteria; Moraxellales; Moraxellaceae. The record is from RNAcentral.